CUGCUCAGUGAAUACCCAAGUGUGCCUUGGAGUCCCCUUGGCUUUAACUCUGUGCUAAGACAAUGACUUUCUGUACCUCUGCAUUUAAAGGAUUAUUCUUUUUAGUGUAUUCAGAAAGUCAGCACACUA
Small nucleolar RNA from Sorex araneus (European shrew), 129 nucleotides. NCBI's taxonomy places the organism in Eukaryota, Metazoa, Chordata, Mammalia, Eulipotyphla, Soricidae. The record is from Ensembl.